This 831-nucleotide ribosomal RNA is filed under the name Alternaria sp. Its description in RNAcentral is "eukaryotic LSU rRNA". It matches the Rfam family "Eukaryotic large subunit ribosomal RNA", at positions 56 to 906 of the family's 3401-position model. The record is from RNAcentral. Lineage: Eukaryota; Fungi; Ascomycota; Dothideomycetes; Pleosporales; Pleosporaceae.
AAGAAGGAACCACAGGGAUUGCCCUAGUAACGGCGAGUGAAGCGGCAACAGCUCAAAUUUGAAAUCUGGCUCUUUUAGAGUCCGAGUUGUAAUUUGCAGAGGGCGCUUUGGCUUUGGCAGCGGUCCAAGUUCCUUGGAACAGGACGUCACAGAGGGUGAGAAUCCCGUACGUGGUCGCUGGCUAUUGCCGUGUAAAGCCCCUUCGACGAGUCGAGUUGUUUGGGAAUGCAGCUCUAAAUGGGAGGUACAUUUCUUCUAAAGCUAAAUAUUGGCCAGAGACCGAUAGCGCACAAGUAGAGUGAUCGAAAGAUGAAAAGCACUUUGGAAAGAGAGUCAAACAGCACGUGAAAUUGUUGAAAGGGAAGCGCUUGCAGCCAGACUUGCUUACAGUUGCUCAUCCGGGUUUCUACCCGGUGCACUCUUCUGUAGGCAGGCCAGCAUCAGUUUGGGCGGUAGGAUAAAGGUCUCUGUCACGUACCUCCUUUCGGGGAGGCCUUAUAGGGGAGACGACAUACUACCAGCCUGGACUGAGGUCCGCGCAUCUGCUAGGAUGCUGGCGUAAUGGCUGUAAGCGGCCCGUCUUGAAACACGGACCAAGGAGUCUAACAUCUAUGCGAGUGUUUGGGUGUCAAGCCCGAGCGCGUAAUGAAAGUGAACGGAGGUGGGAACCCGCAAGGGUGCACCAUCGACCGAUCCUGAUGUCUUCGGAAGGAUUUGAGUAAGAGCAUGGCUGUUGGGACCCGAAAGAUGGUGAACUAUGCUUGAAUAGGGUGAAGCCAGAGGAAACUCUGGUGGAGGCUCGCAGCGGUUCUGACGUGCAAAUCGAUCGUC